This 468-nucleotide ribosomal RNA is filed under the name uncultured bacterium. Its description in RNAcentral is "partial 16S ribosomal RNA". It matches the Rfam family "Bacterial small subunit ribosomal RNA", at positions 28 to 507 of the family's 1533-position model. The record is from RNAcentral.
GACGAACGCUGGCGGCGUGCUUAACACAUGCAAGUCGAACGGAAAGGCCCUGCUUUUGUGGGGUGCUCGAGUGGCGAACGGGUGAGUAACACGUGAGUAACCUGCCCUUGACUUUGGGAUAACUUCAGGAAACUGGGGCUAAUACCGGAUAGGAGCUCCUGCUGCAUGGUGGGGGUUGGAAAGUUUCGGCGGUUGGGGAUGGACUCGCGGCUUAUCAGCUUGUGGGUGGGGUAGUGGCUUACCAAGGCUUUGACGGGUAGCCGGCCUGAGAGGGUGACCGGCCACAUUGGGACUGCGAUACGGCCCAGACUCCUACGGGAGGCAGCAGUGGGGAAUAUUGCACAAUGGGCGGAAGCCUGAUGCAGCAACGCCGCGUGCGGGAUGACGGCCUUCGGGUUGUAAACCGCCUUCGCCUGUGACGAAGCGUGAGUGACGGUAAUGGGUAAAGAAGCACCGGCUAACUACGUG